RNAcentral lists this ribosomal RNA (497 nucleotides) under uncultured bacterium. Its description in RNAcentral is "partial 16S ribosomal RNA". It matches the Rfam family "Bacterial small subunit ribosomal RNA", at positions 28 to 507 of the family's 1533-position model. The record is from RNAcentral.
GAUGAACGCUGGCGGCGUGCCUAAUACAUGCAAGUCGAGCGAACAGACGAGGAGCUUGCUCCUCUGACGUUAGCGGCGGACGGGUGAGUAACACGUGGAUAACCUACCUAUAAGACUGGGAUAACUUCGGGAAACCGGAGCUAAUACCGGAUAAUAUAUUGAACCGCAUGGUUCAAUAGUGAAAGACGGUUUUGCUGUCACUUAUAGAUGGAUCCGCGCCGCAUUAGCUAGUUGGUAAGGUAACGGCUUACCAAGGCAACGAUGCGUAGCCGACCUGAGAGGGUGAUCGGCCAAACUGGAACUGAGACACGGUCCAGACUCCUACGGGAGGCAGCAGUCGGGAAUCUUCCGCAAUGGGCGAAAGCCUGACGGAGCAACGCCGCGUGAGUGAUGAAGGUCUUCGGAUCGUAAAACUCUGUUAUUAGGGAAGAACAAAUGUGUAAGUAACUAUGCACGUCUUGACGGUACCUAAUAAGAAAGCCACGGCUAACUACGUG